RNAcentral lists this small RNA (533 nucleotides) under Pan troglodytes (chimpanzee). RNAcentral describes it as "retained intron". The record is from RNAcentral. Lineage: Eukaryota; Metazoa; Chordata; Mammalia; Primates; Hominidae.
CCGAGGCACCUUUCAAGAAUUCUGCCGGAGGUUUAUGAAUGAUAAGCUGGGCUACGGCUCCUGGUUUGAGCACGUGCAGGAGUUCUGGGAGCACCGCAUGGACUCGAACAUGCUUUUUCUCAAGUAUGAAGACAUGCAUCGGGACCUGGUGACGAUGGUGGAGCAGCUGGCCAGAUUCCUGGGGGUGUCCUGUGACAAGGCCCAGCUGGAAGCCCUGACGGAGCACUGCCACCAGCUGGUGGACCAGUGCUGCAACGCUGAGGCCCUGCCCGUGGGCCGGGGUACGUGCCCCACCCUGCCUCCCGCCCAGGCACUCCCCACCCCAGCCAGGCUGCUUUCUCUGCCUGCUUAGGGAGCCGAGUCCGGUCCCUGUUGCCCUCUCUGCUCCUUUUACAGCAGUCUGUAGCUGGCCCAUGGCCUGUGCUCUGUCAGCUGGUGCCCGUGGAUGGCACAGUGCUCAUGGAGUGACGGAGUACCCUGCCCGCUGGUGUUUGCAUUGCCUCCAAGCAAACAGUGUUUUGACUUGAAAAAGU